GUCAUGGUGAAGCACAUACUGUGUGGAGUAAAAAGGGAAUCCGGUCAGAAACCGGAACAGUCACCACUACUGUAAUGCAGACGAAAAAGCAGAAGGCCACUGGCAGAUAUUGCCGGGAAGGCGCUUUGGAGGAAGAAGCUGAGUCAGGAGACCUGCCAUGAUUGAU
RNAcentral lists this non-coding RNA (166 nucleotides) under pig gut metagenome. The record is from RNAcentral.